CCGCCCGUCACAUCACGAAAGUGGGCUGUACUAGAAGACGCCGAGCCAACCUGCAAAGGGAGCAAGCGUCCACGGUAUGGUCCAUGAUUGGGGUG
This 95-nucleotide ribosomal RNA is filed under the name uncultured bacterium. RNAcentral describes it as "partial 16S ribosomal RNA". It matches the Rfam family "Bacterial small subunit ribosomal RNA", at positions 1390 to 1482 of the family's 1533-position model. The record is from RNAcentral.